CCUAAGUCUUCCCUGUUCCGUCCUAGCUAUGGUGGUAGGCGGGGUCAGAGACAGAGGAUGAGAAACGAUGGUGAAGGUGGUGGCCACGGUGGGAGGAUGAGAAUGACAGCAGCAGCAGUGCUCAUGAUGGUGGAGGUGACAGAGAUGGUGGUGGAGGUGGUGGAGAUGGUGGAGGUGACGGAGAUGGUGGAGGUGAUGGAGAUGGUGAUGGAGGUGACAGAGAUGGUGGAGGUGAUGGAGAUGGUG
Molecule: long non-coding RNA, 246 nt
Organism: Manis pentadactyla (Chinese pangolin)
Lineage: Eukaryota; Metazoa; Chordata; Mammalia; Pholidota; Manidae
Exons: 3
Source: RefSeq, a predicted model, not a curated record